AAUUCGAUGAUACGCGAGGAACCUUACCUGGGCUUAAAUGUAGAGUGCAUUUUUUAGAGAUAGAAAUUCCCUUCGGGGCUUUCUGCAAGGUGCUGCAUGGUUGUCGUCAGCUCGUGCCGUGAGGUGUCGGGUUAAGUCCCAUAACGAGCGCAACCCUUAUCGUUAGUUGCCAUCUGGUAAUGCAGGGGACUCUAGCGAAACUGCCACCGUAAGGUGAGAGGAAGUGGGGAUGACGUCAAAUCAGCACGGCCCUUAUGUCCAGGGCUACACACGUGUUACAAUGGUCGGUACAGAGGGCAGCUACCUGGUGACAGGAUGCUAAUCUCGAAAACCGGUCUCAGUUCGGAUCGAAGUCUGCAACUCGACUUCGUGAAGCUGGAUUCGCUAGUAAUCGCGCAUCAGCUAUGGCGCGGUGAAUACGUUCCCGGGCCUU
Molecule: ribosomal RNA, 433 nt
Filed under: uncultured Sphingobacteriales bacterium
Lineage: Bacteria; Pseudomonadati; Bacteroidota; Sphingobacteriia; Sphingobacteriales
Description: bacterial SSU rRNA
Rfam family: Bacterial small subunit ribosomal RNA
Source: RNAcentral